RNAcentral lists this ribosomal RNA (564 nucleotides) under Rhodotorula diobovata. RNAcentral describes it as "eukaryotic LSU rRNA". It matches the Rfam family "Eukaryotic large subunit ribosomal RNA", at positions 67 to 643 of the family's 3401-position model. The record is from RNAcentral. Lineage: Eukaryota; Fungi; Basidiomycota; Microbotryomycetes; Sporidiobolales; Sporidiobolaceae.
AACAAGGAUUCCCCUAGUAGCGGCGAGCGAAGCGGGAAGAGCUCAAAUUUAUAAUCUGGCACCUUCGGUGUCCGAGUUGUAAUCUCUAGAAGUGUUUUCCGCGUUGGACCGCACACAAGUCUGUUGGAAUACAGCGGCAUAGUGGUGAAACCCCCGUAUAUGGUGCGGACGCCCAGCGCUUUGUGAUACACUUUCAAUGAGUCGAGUUGUUUGGGAAUGCAGCUCAAAUUGGGUGGUAAAUUCCAUCUAAAGCUAAAUAUUGGCGAGAGACCGAUAGCGAACAAGUACCGUGAGGGAAAGAUGAAAAGCACUUUGGAAAGAGAGUUAACAGUACGUGAAAUUGUUGGAAGGGAAACGCUUGAAGUCAGACUUGCUUGCCGGAGCUUGCUUCGGUUUGCAGGCCAGCAUCAGUUUUCCGGGGUGGAUAAUGACGGUUUGAAGGUAGCAGUCUCGGCUGUGUUAUAGCUUUCCGUUGGAUACGCCCUGGGGGACUGAGGAACGCAGCGUGCUUUUUGCGAAAGACUCGUCUUUUUCACGCUUAGGAUGCUGGUGGAAUGGCUUUAA